Odocoileus virginianus texanus is the source of this 584-nucleotide long non-coding RNA. RefSeq lists it as uncharacterized. Lineage: Eukaryota; Metazoa; Chordata; Mammalia; Artiodactyla; Cervidae. The record is from RefSeq and is a predicted model, not a curated record.
UGAACUUUCACAGCAGUUUCACAUCCUCUCCUGGAAACUGUUUCCAACUCCACACCAAACUUGCCCUCGGGGAACGCAAGGAUGCCUCUGAAGGUGUGAGAGGAAGACAGAGCCACUUAGCUAAGCAGAUGGCCAUCUGCUCCUCCCUGCCUCCUGGCCAGGGUCACCUGUAGGCCACAGCCCACCUUUCUCCCAAGGCAGGGAGGGAGGCUGGGACUUCAGAUCCCCACUCCCAGUUCUGCUAGGUCAGCAGGAGAGGCCCAGGGUGGCGAGACAGAGGCCCUUUCCCAGCAUACCACCCAUGACCCAGGGUGACUCAGGACUCCCGACGCUGGAAGCCGCUCUGCGUCUCGUGGACAUAUUUGGUGGACGUGCAUGAGUGUUCAGAGGGCUGACGCCGUGAGAGGAAGCCCCUCGGUGAUGCACCUCAGGGUGGCCAACCCCGGGCUCUAACAUCUAAGUAAAAUCGCCAGCCCUUACUCCUCUAAAGCCCUGGACCUGUGGCCCCUCCAUCAUUUGUAAAAUCAGAAACUUCACAGCGACCUCUUGCUCCGAGUCAUUAAAUGAUGACUGACACAGUUGAA